This is a long non-coding RNA of Syzygium oleosum, 786 nucleotides long. RefSeq lists it as uncharacterized. The record is from RefSeq and is a predicted model, not a curated record. NCBI's taxonomy places the organism in Eukaryota, Viridiplantae, Streptophyta, Magnoliopsida, Myrtales, Myrtaceae. The transcript is spliced from 2 exons.
UCGUGAUUCAUUUUAAGGUCAUAUGCUCUUGUUCGAGCUGUCAAGAUAACUUGCUUUCCAGUAUUCUUCUUCACAAGUAAAAAGGUUCGAGUAUUUGCUGUACAGGUUUAAUUAGUCAACUCUUGCUUAUAUCUAUAAACCAAGUUAACCAAUGGCAGAGUGAUCCAUCUCUUUCCUCGUUAGUCCUAAACAUUGCCACUGGAACUUCUGAAAUCAAUGAUUUAAAAAUGUGCAGGUAAUGCUUUUGGCAACUCUCAGCCUGCCUUGGUGCCAGCAAGGACAUCAGAAGCAGUCUAUGUACGGUGACCGAUUCAUUCUCAGUUAUUGAUCCGACGUAAUGAGUUCUGCAAUACUAAUCUGCUAUUCUGAAGUUGAACUUGCAACCCUGCAUUUGAAUCUCAAUUGUUGGGUCAACGAGAUAAUUGUGUAGUAGCUAUCAUGGAGAACAUAGCCUUUCUGCCGCUACAAUGAUCAACAUUCUCUCUCUUGUUGUUUCAAAUUAAAUUCCGAGCUCACCCUGCAGUAAUGCCUUGUUCAUCGCUGUGCAUGGAUAUUCAGGUAAAGAAAGUUUUCAUGUCAUAGAUGAAUGGCGUGUUGUCGAGCACAUGAAACUUAGGGACAUCUAUGACAAGGGUGACAAAGUGUCCACUGCAGAGAAAGGAAAUGAACAAGUGCUUGGGAGCUCAUUAUAUGCCUCUAGCGAUGCUGCAAUGUGAUUAGAAGUGACGCUGAAGGUGAUGGCGGACAGAUGUCACCCUGCAUAUCGAAGAUUAGGAUGGAAAGGGC